GAUCUGAUUGCAACCUCUGUCAUCCCAUUGAUCACAAGGGUUGAUUUGGCUGAUCUGACUGACUAGGCGGGUGUCCCCUUCCU
This 83-nucleotide small RNA is filed under the name Castor canadensis (American beaver). Its description in RNAcentral is "7SK RNA (ENSCCNG00000026533.1)". It matches the Rfam family "7SK RNA", at positions 13 to 95 of the family's 331-position model. From Rfam's summary of the family: 7SK was discovered as an abundant small nuclear RNA in the mid-70s but a possible function has only recently been suggested. Lineage: Eukaryota; Metazoa; Chordata; Mammalia; Rodentia; Castoridae. The record is from RNAcentral.